RNAcentral lists this long non-coding RNA (2208 nucleotides) under Apteryx rowi (Okarito brown kiwi). Its description in RNAcentral is "lncRNA (ENSARWG00000012747.1)". The record is from RNAcentral. Lineage: Eukaryota; Metazoa; Chordata; Aves; Apterygiformes; Apterygidae.
CCCAGCUUGCCCCGGCAUCCCGCUCUCCGGAGCCGGGAAAAGGCUGCCAGCAUGCGCCAGGCCGCCUCCCGCUCCGAGCCAGCUUCCAGUCUCGUUUACACCAGCACUGCGGUGCCGGAGUGACUCCGCUCGACGCCCCUCCGGGUGCAAAUCCCGCCCGGUUCCCCAGCGCUUCCGGGGGCGCUUUGCGCCCCGAUGUGCCCAGUCCCCCCCAGCGAGCGUCUCCGGUGUCUUGAAGGUCCCUUCCCGUCUUCCAGCCUCCGCCAAAACUCAACGAGCCGGGUCCGGUCCCGCCGCUCCCGGGCCCGUCCGCACCUGCUGCGGCCUCAUCYGGGCUGCAGGGAGCCGAGCCGAGGGGACGGGAUCGGGGUUUUCGUUGCAAAAUGACUCCAGCGAGGGAGAUGCGGGAUGCGUAGACCGGGGAGAGGGUUUUUUCCCCCCCCCCCUUGGAGUUUGAGAAGAAUAAACCCUUUUUGUUCGUUUUUUUGUUUUGUUUUGUUUUCUUUGCAGAGCCGAGACCUUGUGCAUGCGUGUAGAAAGUUGUAAAAUGUAAAAUUGUUUUUUAAUAUAUAAAAAGCUUGUUUUUACAGUUUGCAGUGGAUCGAAGCAUUACAGCAGUGUUAGGAAGUUUUGGUUGUUUUUUUUUUUCCAUAGAGGGACUAAAAUUGUACAAAUUUUUUUUUUUAUAUAUAAAAUAAACACAUUUGACAUUUUUCUUUGUCUUCUCACACCUGGCGCUUUGCGGUGAGCUGGUAGAAGCUGGCUCGCGGCUUCUAGCAGUGGUUUGGCAGCACUUUUAGCUGCUUCAACUCCUCGGAUCUGCCCGGCCUGGCUCUGCGCAGCGCUGGAGUUGAUGCUGAGCCCUGGGUCAAGGUGCUGCAGUGGCAGGAUGCGGCCUCGAGAGAGCACGCGGAGGGAAACCAGCCCUGCCCCGGUGAAAGAUGCCCUCGGAGGAUGCCCGGUGCCGGCGGAGGAUGCUCGGAAACAGCCGUGUCCUUUCUGCCGGCGGCUCAAGGCUCAGGGAAGGAGGAACAGGAGCGUCAGCGCGGCGUCAGACGUGCACRGGACCGAGGGCAGGGAAGGAGCCGAAGGCCGUGCCGAAACCCCGCGGCGCCCCGCCGGGCCCUCGCGGCGGAAGCGUCUCGCUUAGGCCAGAGAGAAAACCCAGCGUUUCUGGGGUGAAACCCUGCUUUAUUGGCUCGACCGUGCGCGUCGCUGACCAUCCAACCCCUGUCCUUGCAUGCGCAUUAGAAAAUGCACGUGCACGGCCAUGCCACGCGCAGCCACGUUGUGCACGGCCGUGCCACGCGCUGGCUCCCGUCCUGCCAGGGUUUGACACGUGCUCCAGCACCCGCGGGCCGGGAAGGGCCGAGGAGGCGGCGAGGCCUCGUCGCCGGCCGGGAGCAUCCUCGCCGCGCGCGUGGCCCGGCCUCGCCGCCUCCUCGGGGCGUUUCGAAGCUGCCGGUUUCUCCGUGGGCUUCGGCCAUGCUGGGAGCCCUCAGUCAGCGCCRGGCGCUCCGGAGCAGCGGGAGCUGCCGGCAGCCACGGGUGCAAUGGGCUGCUCGGAUGAGAGAGCAGCAAGGUCAGGCCCUGCUCCGGGGACRGGGAACAGGACUCCGCAGGGCACCGCCACAUGUGGGCAUCCCCUGGAAAGCAUCAACCUCCUCCGGGGACCGGCCCGGGCUGGAAGCACCUGCGAUGCCCGGCGCUGGGCACAUUGCAAGCUGGGCAAACCUGAGAACGGCCCCGUGCAGUCCCUUGCUCCUGCUUAUUGCCCAAAAUUACACUGUGCGCCCGACAUGGCCGAGGAGCGUUAAAAUACCUGGGCCGGCAGCAGCUGCGGCGGGGGAGCAUCCUCCUCGCCGAGGAUGGUUUCCCUCAGGUCCUGGGUUGGGGGUUUCUCCGGCCCCUUUCGCUCCUCCUGCAGCGGAGACGGCAGCGGCUUUAGGAGACGCUGUGCGGCCCUGAGCAUCCCCGUCCCCGAACUCGUGUCCCCACCGCGUCUGCAUCGCCCGCCGGGGCAGGCUCGGCUCGAAGCCCGGGCAAGGGGCGGAGGAGGCAGGAUUUCGGCUGCGGACCCCCCAUCAGCUGGACUCACCCUGGCAGGAGGGAUUAUUGGGGCCCUGUCAUGGAUGGGGACGGUGGCUGCUUCUCCCAAGUCUGCAAUACAGCGAUUUUGGAUGUGAAUAAAAGCACGAAAACCAGGCA